GGUAGCGAAAUUCCUUGUCGGGUAAGUUCCGACCCGCACGAAAGGCGUAACGAUUUGGGCACUGUCUCAACGAGAGACUCGGUGAAAUCAUAGUACCUGUGAAGAUGCAGGUUACCCGCGACAGGACGGAAAGACCCCGUGGAGCUUUACUGUAGCCUGAUAUUGAAAUUCGGCACAGCUUGUACAGGAUAGGUAGGAGCCUUUGAAACGUGAGCGCUAGCUUACGUGGAGGCGCUGGUGGGAUACUACCCUAGCUGUGUUGGCUUUCUAACCCGCACCACUUAUCGUGGUGGGAGACAGUGUCAGGCGGGCAGUUUGACUGGGGCGGUCGCCUCCUAAAAGGUAACGGAGGCGCUCAAAGGUUCCCUCAGAAUGGUUGGAAAUCAUUCAUAGAGUGUAAAGGCAUAAGGGAGCUUGACUGCGAGACCUACAAGUCGAGCAGGGUCGAAAGACGGACUUAGUGAUCCGGUGGUUCCGCAUGGAAGGGCCAUCGCUCAACGGAUAAAAGCUACCCCGGGGAUAACAGGCUUAUCUCCCCCAAGAGUUCACAUCGACGGGGAGGUUUGGCACCUCGAUGUCGGCUCAUCGCAUCCUGGGGCUGUAGUCGGUCCCAAGGGUUGGGCUGUUCGCCCAUUAAAGCGGUACGCGAGCUGGGUUCAGAACGUCGUGAGACAGUUCGGUCCCUAUCCGUCGUGGGCGUAGGAAAUUUGAGAGGAGCUGUCCUUAGUACGAGAGGACCGGGAUGGACAUACCUCUGGUGUACCAGUUGUCGUGCCAACGGCAUAGCUGGGUAGCUAUGUGUGGACGGGAUAAGUGCUGAAAGCAUCUAAGCAUGAAGCCCCCCUCAAGAUGAGAUUUCCCAACUUCGGUUAUAAGAUUCCUCAAAGAUGAUGAGGUUAAUAGGUUCGAGGUGGAAGCAUGGUGACAUGUGGAGCUGACGAAUACUAAUCGAUUGAAGACUUAAUCAA
RNAcentral lists this ribosomal RNA (968 nucleotides) under Staphylococcus aureus 1111000177. RNAcentral's name for it is "bacterial LSU rRNA". It matches the Rfam family "Bacterial large subunit ribosomal RNA", at positions 1955 to 2925 of the family's 2925-position model. The record is from RNAcentral. Lineage: Bacteria; Bacillati; Bacillota; Bacilli; Caryophanales; Staphylococcaceae.